CAUGCAAGUCGAGCGAACAGAUGAGAAGCUUGCUUCUCUGAUGUUAGCGGCGGACGGGUGAGUAACACGUGGGUAACCUACCUAUAAGACUGGGAUAACUCCGGGAAACCGGGGCUAAUACCUGAUAAUAUUUUGAACCGCAUGGUUCGAUAGUGAAAGGCGGCUUCGGCUGUCACUUAUAGAUGGACCCGCGCCGUAUUAGCUAGUUGGUAAGGUAAUGGCUUACCAAGGCGACGAUACGUAGCCGACCUGAGAGGGUGAUCGGCCACACUGGAACUGAGACACGGUCCAGACUCCUACGGGAGGCAGCAGUAGGGAAUCUUCCGCAAUGGGCGAAAGCCUGACGGAGCAACGCCGCGUGAGUGAUGAAGGUUUUCGGAUCGUAAAACUCUGUUGUUAGGGAAGAACAAAUUUGUUAGUAACUGAACAAGUCUUGACGGUACCUAACCAGAAAGCCACGGCUAACUACGUGCCAGCAGCCGCGGUAAUACGUAGGUGGCAAGCGUUAUCCGGAAUUAUUGGGCGUAAAGCGCGCGUAGGCGGUUUCUUAAGUCUGAUGUGAAAGCCCACGGCUCAACCGUGGAGGGUCAUUGGAAACU
Molecule: ribosomal RNA, 599 nt
Filed under: Staphylococcus sp. Y41-MSE-E14
Lineage: Bacteria; Bacillati; Bacillota; Bacilli; Caryophanales; Staphylococcaceae
Description: bacterial SSU rRNA
Rfam family: Bacterial small subunit ribosomal RNA
Source: RNAcentral